Molecule: ribosomal RNA, 252 nt
Filed under: uncultured bacterium
Lineage: Bacteria
Description: partial 16S ribosomal RNA
Rfam family: Bacterial small subunit ribosomal RNA
Source: RNAcentral
GACGAACCGUGCGAACGUUGUUCGGAGUUACUGGGCGUAAAGAGUGUGUAGGCGGUGCUUUAAGUUUGGUGUGAAAUCUCCCGGCUCAACCGGGAGGGUGCGCCGAAGACUGGAGUGCUUGAGUAUGGGAGAGGAAAGCGGAAUUCCUGGUGUAGCGGUGAAAUGCGUAGAUAUCAGGAGGAACACCUGCGGUGUAGACGGCUUUCUGGACCAUCACUGACGCUGAGACACGAAAGCGUGGGUAGCAAACAG